RNAcentral lists this ribosomal RNA (445 nucleotides) under uncultured bacterium. RNAcentral's name for it is "bacterial SSU rRNA". It matches the Rfam family "Bacterial small subunit ribosomal RNA", at positions 354 to 796 of the family's 1533-position model. The record is from RNAcentral.
GUGAGGAAUAUUGCGCAAUGGAGGCAACUCUGACGCAGCCAUGCCGCGUGCAGGAAGAAGGCGCUACGCGUUGUAAACUGCUUUUAACCGGGAAGAAACCCCAGGACGUGUCCUGGGUUGACGGUACCGGAGGAAUAAGCACCGGCUAACUUCGUGCCAGCAGCCGAGGUAAUACGUAGGGUGCAAGCGUUAUCCGGAUUCAUGGGGUUUAAAGGGUGCGUAGGCGGAGCGUUAAGUCAGUGGUGAAAUCCUGCAGCUUAACUGUAGACUUGCCAUUGAUACUGGCGAUCUUGAUUGCGCUUGAAGUGGGCGGAAUGUGCCGUGUAGCGGUGAAAUGCUUAGAUAUGGCACAGAACACCAAUUGCGAAGGCAGCUCACUAAGGCGAUACUGACGCUGAGGCACGAAAGCGUGGGGAUCGAACAGGAUUAGAAACCCUAGUAGUCC